CAGUCGCCACGGGAAAACAGAGGGUGCGAGCGUUAAUCGGAUUUACUGGGCGUAAAGCGUGCGUAGGCGGUUAUAUAAGACAGAUGUGAAAUCCCCGGGCUCAACCUGGGAACUGCAUUUGUGACUGUAUAGCUAGAGUACGGCAGAGGGGGAUGGAAUUCCGCGUGUAGCAGUGAAAUGCGUAGAUAUGCGGAGGAACACCGAUGGCGAAGGCAAUCCCCUGGGCCUGUACUGACGCUCAUGCACGAAAGCGUGGGGAGCAAACAGGAUUAGAUACCCCAGUAGUCCCUGUCUCUUAUAC
RNAcentral lists this ribosomal RNA (301 nucleotides) under uncultured bacterium. Its description in RNAcentral is "partial 16S ribosomal RNA". It matches the Rfam family "Bacterial small subunit ribosomal RNA", at positions 509 to 807 of the family's 1533-position model. The record is from RNAcentral.